This 751-nucleotide ribosomal RNA is filed under the name uncultured bacterium. RNAcentral describes it as "bacterial SSU rRNA". It matches the Rfam family "Bacterial small subunit ribosomal RNA", at positions 33 to 773 of the family's 1533-position model. The record is from RNAcentral.
ACGCUGGCGGCAGGCCUAACACAUGCAAGUCGAGCGGCAGCGGGAAGUAGCUUGCUACUUUGCCGGCGAGCGGCGGACGGGUGAGUAAUGUCUGGGAAACUGCCUGAUGGAGGGGGAUAACUACUGGAAACGGUAGCUAAUACCGCAUGACCUCGUAAGAGCAAAGUGGGGGACCUUCGGGCCUCACACCAUCGGAUGUGCCCAGAUGGGAUUAGCUAGUAGGUGAGGUAAUGGCUCACCUAGGCGACGAUCCCUAGCUGGUCUGAGAGGAUGACCAGCCACACUGGAACUGAGACACGGUCCAGACUCCUACGGGAGGCAGCAGUGGGGAAUAUUGCACAAUGGGCGCAAGCCUGAUGCAGCCAUGCCGCGUGUGUGAAGAAGGCCUUAGGGUUGUAAAGCACUUUCAGCGAGGAGGAAGGGUUCAGUGUUAAUAGCACUGUGCAUUGACGUUACUCGCAGAAGAAGCACCGGCUAACUCCGUGCCAGCAGCCGCGGUAAUACGGAGGGUGCAAGCGUUAAUCGGAAUUACUGGGCGUAAAGCGCACGCAGGCGGUUUGUUAAGUCAGAUGUGAAAUCCCCGAGCUUAACUUGGGAACUGCAUUUGAAACUGGCAAGCUAGAGUCUUGUAGAGGGGGGUAGAAUUCCAGGUGUAGCGGUGAAAUGCGUAGAGAUCCGGAGGAAUACCGGUGGCGAAGGCGGCCCCCUGGACAAAGACUGACGCUCAGGUGCGAAAGCGUGGGGAGCAAAC